This is a long non-coding RNA of Pocillopora verrucosa, 1100 nucleotides long. RefSeq lists it as uncharacterized. NCBI's taxonomy places the organism in Eukaryota, Metazoa, Cnidaria, Anthozoa, Scleractinia, Pocilloporidae. The record is from RefSeq and is a predicted model, not a curated record.
AAAAAUCUUUUAAAAAACUAGAAUAAAUUUGCUUCCAAUUUGUCAAAAUUCCAAUCGAGUGCACGAGGUUUUUGCUCGAGUGCACAAAUGUUGAAAGUCUGUUAGUGUGCAAACUACCAGACGGAUUCCUUUGUUCAGAUCCAUCGGAGUAUCGUGUAAACCAUAAAUUUUAACCAUACGUUGUGGCCGGCCAAUUUAAAGUAAAAGGACAAUUAUUUAUCGGACCUUUGUAAGCCUACAUUGUGAAUUACAGAUCAAGCCAACAGCAUGGAUGAACACAUUCAGUAUCUCGAGACACUUUGUCGUCUUUGUGGCACAAAUCUGCCACGGGCCUGGGUCAGUGCUAUAAACAAAGAAUAUUUCAAAUCGGAGCUCUGGAUGAAAUUUCAAAUCAAUGUCGAUCUUGACAUCAGAGAGAUUCAUUCAGCCAAGGCGAAUGCACACUAAAAGAUAAUUUCAGGAAAUCACGGAUCUAACACGUAAAUGUGAUUAUCCAGCGAGUAAGUUCUCCUUCGGGCAAACAUAAAACAAAGAGGUAUUCGUUCACUGAGCUCUCACAUCUUCAGGUAUCGUAUCCGGGAAAUGUGCGAUAAGAGCGGCAUGAAGAUGAAAAUAAAGAAAUCACAUUGGUGGAAAGCCUUGCCGAAGUGUCUCUAUUACAGCAUUCCGGAAAGAAAGGUAUCAUAAUUUCAAGAUCAAAGCUCCACGUGGAACACCGCUUGUUAUUCAAAGUGAAGACGACAACACGUAUGACUCGCAUGCACUGGCUUGUCUUCUUCCACGAGAAAUGGAACGCAUUCCAGAGGCUCUACGAGAAGUCCAGAUUUUCAGCAGAUCGCAGAGAAAGACAUACACUUUAGGAGAUGUCAAAGGGCAGCAGAUCGGCACGGUUCAGCACUUUCUAAACAUACAGCUGCAUGCUUUGCUUCGAUGUGGCAAAAUAACCAGGAAUUGAAGGGGAAAUCAACGGAGAACGGACAGUAACAUCGAGGCCAAGCUCUACCCUGAAGUUCUCCAGAUACAAACAGGCUGGCGGAGGAGCUUUUAUUCCUGUGACGCUCUUGGUGGAAGGACCACAGCGUUACAAAGAAUUUGUGCUA